This 345-nucleotide unclassified non-coding RNA is filed under the name soil metagenome. RNAcentral's name for it is "partial contains 5.8S ribosomal RNA, internal transcribed spacer 2, and large subunit ribosomal RNA". The stretch from base 1 to 120 matches the Rfam family "5.8S ribosomal RNA", at positions 35 to 154 of the family's 154-position model. The record is from RNAcentral.
GAUGAAGAACGUAGCGAAAUGCGAUACGUAAUGUGAAUUGCAGAAUUCAGUGAAUCAUCGAGUCUUUGAACGCACAUUGCGCCCCCUGGUAUUCCGGGGGGCAUGCCUGUCCGAGCGUCAUUGCUGCCCUCAAGCACGGCUUGUGUGUUGGGCCUCCGUCCUCCUCCCGGGGGACGGGCCCGAAAGGCAGCGGCGGCACCGCGUCCGGUCCUCGAGCGUAUGGGGCUUCGUCACCCGCUCUUGUAGGCCCGGCCGGCGCUUGCCGACACAUCAAUCUUUUUUCCAGGUUGACCUCGGAUCAGGUAGGGAUACCCGCUGAACUUAAGCAUAUCAUUAAGCGGAGGA